RNAcentral lists this ribosomal RNA (468 nucleotides) under uncultured bacterium. RNAcentral's name for it is "partial 16S ribosomal RNA". It matches the Rfam family "Bacterial small subunit ribosomal RNA", at positions 28 to 523 of the family's 1533-position model. The record is from RNAcentral.
GAUGAGCGCUGGCGGCGUGCCUAACACAUGCAAGUCGAGCGAUUCUCUUCGGAGAAGAGCGGCGGACGGGUGAGUAACGCGUGGGUAACCUGCCCUGUACACACGGAUAACAAACCGCAAGGUAUGCUAAUACGGGAUAAUAUGCUUUAGUCGCAUGGCUGAAGUAUCAAAGCUCCGGCGGUACAGGAUGGACCCGCGUCUGAUUAGCUAGUUGGUAAGGUAAUGGCUUACCAAGGCGACGAUCAGUAGCCGACCUGAGAGGGUGAUCGGCCACAUUGGAACUGAGACACGGUCCAAACUCCUACGGGAGGCAGCAGUGGGGAAUAUUGCACAAUGGGCGAAAGCCUGAUGCAGCAACGCCGCGUGAGCGAUGAAGGCCUUCGGGUCGUAAAGCUCUGUCCUCAAGGAAGAUAAUGACGGUACUUGAGGAGGAAGCCCCGGCUAACUACGUGCCAGCCGCCGCCGUAA